RNAcentral lists this ribosomal RNA (497 nucleotides) under uncultured bacterium. RNAcentral describes it as "partial 16S ribosomal RNA". It matches the Rfam family "Bacterial small subunit ribosomal RNA", at positions 28 to 507 of the family's 1533-position model. The record is from RNAcentral.
GAUGAACGCUGGCUGCGUGCCUAAUACAUGUAAGUCGAGCGAACGGACGAGAAGCUUGCUUCUCUGAUGUUAGCUGCGGACGGGUGAGUAACACUUGGAUAACUUCCCUAUACGACUUGCAUAACUUCGGCAAACCGGAGCUCAUACCGGAUGAUAUUUUUAUCCGCAUGUUUCAUCAGUUACAGACGGUCUUUCUGUCACUUAUAGAUGGAUCCGCGCUGCAUUAGCUAGUUGGUAAGGUAACGGCUUACCAAGGCAACGAUGCAUAGCCGACCUGAGAGGGGGAGAAGCCACACUGGAACUGAGGCACGGUCCAGACUAAAACGGGAGGGAGCGGUAGGGAAUGGACCGCAAGGGGAGGAAGGCUGGCGGAGAAAAGCCGAGUGAGGGAUGAAGGUCUUCGGAUAGUAAAACUAUGUUAUUAGGGAAGAACAUAUGUGUAAGGAACUGUGCACAUCUUGAAGGUACCGAAUCAGAAAGCAACGGCUAACUACGUG